Molecule: non-coding RNA, 31 nt
Filed under: Mus musculus (house mouse)
Lineage: Eukaryota; Metazoa; Chordata; Mammalia; Rodentia; Muridae
Source: RNAcentral
UGGGUAGAUCACAUAUACCAAGGUGUCAUGU